Molecule: long non-coding RNA, 2686 nt
Organism: Mytilus californianus (California mussel)
Lineage: Eukaryota; Metazoa; Mollusca; Bivalvia; Mytilida; Mytilidae
Exons: 4
Source: RefSeq, a predicted model, not a curated record
AUAUAUCAUUUUCUCUUAUUUUCAUAUCUCCCUCAAUGUAUAAACAAAUUGCGGGAAACUUGUUGUUCGUAAUAAUAACUGUCCGUUGUUAUUGAUUACACGGACUUAAAAAUAACUUUGCUUUCGUUUUCGUAUACAAUUACAUAUGUGCGGAAUUGUUGCUGCAAUUUACAGUUAAUACUAUAUAUUCAUACCGAUAGUUUAUAAACAUAAAUUCACGAAAACGUAAAAAGUGUUGUGAUAUAAAACAUUGUUUUUUUAAAUUUGAACAAUUUUAAGUGGUGACUAUAUAUAUUUAUUAUAAAACAGAUCAUUUGACAUACAUACGGUGAAGCGUCAUUUGAUUUGAAUAUUCGAUUGUACUAGACUAUAAACUAAAAUAAUUUGCAAAUGGAAGUUAAUCUUGACAAAAAACAAACCGAAAUGUGCGCUGACUGUAAACUUGCAUUUUCAGAUAUUGGAUCCCAAAAAGGUUUCUUUUUUUUAAUGAAAUUUCAAUUUAUUUGGUUUAAUACAUUUUUGUAUUUUUGGUAAAAUAAAACAAAUAUGGAAGAUUUGAAUUUGACCCUAUUCAAAGAUUACUGCAACAAGGGAAAGCUUGUAUUGCUAACAUUGUUCAUCUUUAUUGUUGAUGCAAUCAUGGUAUUGACAUUACCGUUUAAUAGUGAUGACUGGUCCAGAGUUACAGUUGGGGACAGAUUAAUUAUAGUCCUGAUCAUAAUGUUUACUGUGUGUAUCCUGGUAGUAGACAUUUAUGCAGCAGCAAAAGUUCUACAUUCACGGAAAUUGGACGAUGUUCCGUUAUGUGCUAUAUGUAGCACAACAGUGGAACGGUUUGACGAUUGGAAAUGGACCAAAAAGUGGAGACAUUUUAUUCUCAGAGAUCAUCGUGACAUGAAAGGAGUGAUCAGCACUGUUUGAAGAAGCGUUUACAACUGGCUAUGAACAUUCAAUUUUGAAAAGUGCAAGGAAAGCAGAUGAAGAUUUAUCUUUUAACAACUAGAAUGACAGCAAAGUUUUUGAUAUAUCAUUUACUUACAUCUUUAUAAUAUAUUUGUUUUUAAUUUUUUUUAACCUAAUCAAUGUUGAUAAUGGCUAAUAAUAUUAAUUCAUGAAAACUAUUUAUCAUUAGUGAGGUAAUUUUAACAAAAAUCAUAGACACACAUAAAAAUUUAUAAUAGAUAUUUGUACUUAUAGCAGCUAUGUGCUCAGACUUGGAAAUAUCUCUAAGUGAAUUUCCGUAAAAUUUUUAAAAUAAAGAAUGAUACAGAAGUUUUUAAUGGCUGUGUUUUUUUUAAAGACAGAAAAUUUCAAAUAAGUUUUUGUUAUCACUAAUUUUGAAAUCAAAAAGAUGCAUUUUCCUUAUGCAGACAUUAUCAUACUUUUAAAUAAAUCCUUAAUCAAUUUUAAAAUUACAUCUAACAUUUUGUUUUUUCCCUUGCUUAUUCCAUAAUUGUUUGCUUUCUUUUAAGGUUUGCCUAGAUACUGUUCUUUUUAUUUCUCAGAAACGAAAUGAAAGGGUCUAACUUUUUAAAGAAGUGUUUGUAAUGCUUUUUUAGUAUGGCUAUUUUUUAAGAAAUAUAACCAAUUUUUUUUUUUUAAAUUUUACACCUAGAAUAUUCAUAGCAUAAUGUUGUGUUUAACCAAUAUUGAAGACAUCGUGAACAACCCAAAAGGGAGUAAUACAAUAUUCCCACGACCGAGGCUCUACUGUAUUAUCACAUUUAUAGAAGUAUAUUCUUUGAUAAAUAGCAUAUAUUUUGUGUAGCUAUACCAGUCAUAAUCAUUUUUUUUCGAUUAAAGUACAUCGAUUUCUUUGUACAGCGAUGCCAGUUUUGUCUUCCGACAAUUUUGAUUAGAGUUCCACUGAUAGGUCUUAUGAAGACGAUCACGCCUUGUGUAUACUAAGUUAAAGGGCUGAUUUCUGUGGAGAACACAUUUCUAGCCAUUUUUUUCAAACGUCCUCAAAAGAUAUUGUAUGUGUGUAGCUUUUAACUGCAAUUCCGUUCAAUUUUAUGUUAGUAUAAAAGUAAACAACAUAAUGACAUUAUAAUAUCCUGCAUUUAUUAUGUUAUAUCGAAGUCUUUAAAAAUAUAGGGUUAGAUACUGAGAACAAUUAAAAACUGAUUAAGCAAGAAAAACCAUUUGCAACAUCAGUCUUAUACGUGAUACAUGAUAACAAGAAUCACAUUUUAAUAUGAAUUAAAACAUGGACCUUACAUUUGAAAAAAUCUGCAAAUUCUACCGGAAUGUAAGUCCUGGUCGCUCACUCUUUUUUUUCUUUCAUUGGAUUAUGUUAUUUUCUUUUUUUUUCAAAUGUUUUUAUAUUUCUUUGACUUCUUAAUUAUAACAAUGGUGAUGUAAUGGUGAUGAAUUUAUCAUUUGAUUGUCAAUGCUCCUGAUGAAAUUACACACAGAAAAACACUUAAUAGUUAUUAAUAAUCUGAUUCUUAAAAAAGCACACUUGGCGGUGUAAUUGGUUGUUGGAGAACAUGAAAAGAUUCAUGCAAGCUUUUUGAACAGUGUCCCUUCCUAAUAUUUCAGACAAUAUUCAAUUUAUCAUAUACACAUUUUUUUUACCAUGGCUAGCUAAAGUAAAGUCAGUUUGUAAAGCUUGAUUAUCUAUAUAUGUAUACCUGUAUAAAAAGGAAAUGAAAAUUAUGAGAUGCAAUUAUUUAAAAUUUAA